Molecule: ribosomal RNA, 253 nt
Filed under: uncultured bacterium
Lineage: Bacteria
Description: partial 16S ribosomal RNA
Rfam family: Bacterial small subunit ribosomal RNA
Source: RNAcentral
UACGGAGGGUGCAAGCGUUAUCCGGAUUCACUGGGUUUAAAGGGUGCGUAGGUGGGCUGGUAAGUCAGUGGUGAAAUCUCCAGGCUUAACUUGGAAACUGCCAUUGAUACUAUCAGUCUUGAAUACCGUGGAGGUCAGCGGAAUAUGUCAUGUAGCGGUGAAAUGCUUAGAUAUGACAUAGAACACCCAUUGCGAAGGCAGCUUACUACACGAUCAUUGACGCUGAGGCACGAAAGCGUGGGGAGCAAACAGG